This 234-nucleotide ribosomal RNA is filed under the name uncultured bacterium. RNAcentral describes it as "partial 16S ribosomal RNA". It matches the Rfam family "Bacterial small subunit ribosomal RNA", at positions 15 to 240 of the family's 1533-position model. The record is from RNAcentral.
GAUCAUGGCUCAGGAUGAACGCUAGCUACAGGCUUAACACAUGCAAGUCGAGGGGCAGCAUGGUCUUAGCUUGCUAAGGCCGAUGGCGACCGGCGCACGGGUGAGUAACGCGUAUCCAACCUGCCUUACACUCUUGGACAGCCUUCUGAAAGGGAGAUUAAUACAAGAUGUUAUCACGAGUAAGCAUUUUCACAUGAUUAAAGGUUUACCGGUGUAAGAUGGGGAUGCGUUCCA